UACGAACCGUACAAACGUUAUUCGGAAUCACUGGGCUUAAAGGGUGCGUAGGCGGCCAUGUAAGUGAGGUGUGAAAUCCCUCGGCUCAACCGAGGAACUGCGCUUCAUACUGCAUGGCUUGAGGGAGACAGGGGUAAGCGGAACUGAUGGUGGAGCGGUGAAAUGCGUUGAUAUCAUCAGGAACACCGGUGGCGAAGGCGGCAUCCUGGACCAACACUGACACUGAGGAGCGAAAGCCAGGGGAGCAAACGGG
Molecule: ribosomal RNA, 253 nt
Filed under: uncultured bacterium
Lineage: Bacteria
Description: partial 16S ribosomal RNA
Rfam family: Bacterial small subunit ribosomal RNA
Source: RNAcentral